RNAcentral lists this ribosomal RNA (999 nucleotides) under uncultured bacterium. RNAcentral describes it as "bacterial SSU rRNA". It matches the Rfam family "Bacterial small subunit ribosomal RNA", at positions 505 to 1503 of the family's 1533-position model. The record is from RNAcentral.
GUGCCAGCAGCCGCGGUAAUACGUAGGUGGCAAGCGUUGUCCGGAUUUAUUGGGCGUAAAGCGAGCGCAGGCGGUUUUUUAAGUCUGAUGUGAAAGCCUUCGGCUCAACCGAAGAAGUGCAUCGGAAACUGGGAAACUUGAGUGCAGAAGAGGACAGUGGAACUCCAUGUGUAGCGGUGAAAUGCGUAGAUAUAUGGAAGAACACCAGUGGCGAAGGCGGCUGUCUGGUCUGUAACUGACGCUGAGGCUCGAAAGUAUGGGUAGCAAACAGGAUUAGAUACCCUGGUAGUCCAUACCGUAAACGAUGAAUGCUAAGUGUUGGAGGGUUUCCGCCCUUCAGUGCUGCAGCUUACGCAUUAAGCAUUCCGCCUGGGGAGUACGGCCGCAAGGCUGAAACUCAAAGGAAUUGACGGGGGCCCGCACAAGCGGUGGAGCAUGUGGUUUAAUUCGAAGCUACGCGAAGAACCUUACCAGGUCUUGACAUACUAUGCAAAUCUAAGAGAUUAGACGUUCCCUUCGGGGACAUGGAUACAGGUGGUGCAUGGUUGUCGUCAGCUCGUGUCGUGAGAUGUUGGGUUAAGUCCCGCAACGAGCGCAACCCUUAUUAUCAGUUGCCAGCAUUAAGUUGGGCACUCUGGUGAGACUGCCGGUGACAAACCGGAGGAAGGUGGGGAUGACGUCAAAUCAUCAUGCCCCUUAUGACCUGGGCUACACACGUGCUACAAUGGAUGGUACAACGAGUUGCGAACUCGCGAGAGUAAGCUAAUCUCUUAAAGCCAUUCUCAGUUCGGAUUGUAGGCUGCAACUCGCCUACAUGAAGUCGGAAUCGCUAGUAAUCGCGGAUCAGCAUGCCGCGGUGAAUACGUUCCCGGGCCUUGUACACACCGCCCGUCACACCAUGAGAGUUUGUAGCACCCAAAGUCGGUGGGGUAACCUUUUAGGAACCAGCUGCCUAAGGUGGGACAGAUGAUUAGGGUGAAGUCGUAACAAGGUAACCGA